Molecule: long non-coding RNA, 2807 nt
Organism: Anguilla rostrata (American eel)
Lineage: Eukaryota; Metazoa; Chordata; Actinopteri; Anguilliformes; Anguillidae
Exons: 3
Source: RefSeq, a predicted model, not a curated record
UAUGCUGUAACUGCGCCUGCACAGAUCCAGUACCCAGACCGCAGAUGUCCAGCAGAAACAAGAUGAAACCCAGCUGCAGUGUGCUGUGCUCUGUGGAGAAUGGGAGAGAGGUCACCCUGUCCUGGCACAGAGAGGGGCAGACACUGUCCCACACCAGCAGCCCUAAUUUCAGCUCCCCCCUGUCCCUCCCUCUGGAGAUAGAAACGAACAGCGCCCCCUACAGCUGCGUGGCAACGAACCCUGUCAGUAAUAAGACUGUCAUCGUCAGACCUGAAGAGCACUGCUUCGAUCGAGACAUUCGCAGCCUUCUGGUAGCUGGGAUUGAAGCCUUUAUUGGGAUUUUAUUCAUUAUUCUAAUGGGCACAUACGUCUGCCUUCUGAUAAGGAGCAACACACCUGGAAGUUGAGUCCAGCACCCAAGAUGUAGCUCGCUGCUACACACAGAUCCUGGACAUCUGUUGGAGGACCCUGAAGCUGAAGUUGAGGUCGUGAAAACAAAAUGGUGGACGGCAACACCAGAGCGCUGAUUGGAGUAUCAGCAUAAACUUGACAUGAAAGAUGGCACAUUAACAUGUUUCACAUCUUCCGUUGCUGUGCUGUUGAUGUAUACCAGCAAAAAGACUGUAUAAUUACAAUCUGACUUUCACUGUAAUGCUUUCAGUUUGAAGUGACAGUUUGAGGUGUAACAUAAUGACAUACCUGAUUAAGCUGUGACAGGCCAUCAUUGAAAUUAAGAGCUGUUUAUUGAAUGACAAUAUUGCCCUUUUAUUACUAGGGGGAGACCAAGUUUAAGAUCUGCACAGCUGGCCCUGUCUUAGGGGAGAGGCUUUGGCUUUGACUGCUGAAUAGGGUCUCUCCAAAAAUCCUUGUGGUUCUUUUUUUGUUUGAACUUGAUCCAGGAGAGGUGCAUUUCAGGUGUCUGUUUUCAAAGUACUUGUUGUGUUUUGUUUCUUUAGUUUUUUCACACCAGAUGGGCUUUCAGCUUGUUUCUCCAGACUGUUCUCUCAGGUCAGCAGAUGUUCUUAUACACAGCAACUUACACAGGUUACAUUUAUACAUUAAAUCCACUUUUACUGCUGAAUACUGCACUGUCAUCCCUGUCAGUCCACUCCAGCCUUAGUGCUUUAAAAACUAUUUAUUUAUCAUACCUGCAAACUAGUCGCUUUUCGGCGAAAUUCGCCGUUUUGAAUCCAAAAUAGGUCAUUUGUGUGAUUCGUGUACAUCCGAUGAGUUUUUGAAAUUUGGGGGGGGGUAGUGGUUAACCUAGAAAGUUUUCACCGCAGGUUUUCGCCACAAUCAGUUAGUAAUGAGCCAAUAACUGUUACACCACCGCCGUUUGUGGUGUUCACUCGCUGGGUGACGCUGUCAUAAAAUUUCCCCCGACCGUGAAGACUGCCUUAGCCUACUUGUUUACAUUUUGGACAGAUGUGGCUCGGGGUAAAUCUAUCGCUGUUUCCGUCGCAGCACUUUCGACACAAGCAAUGUUGGAAGCGCUAUCUUAAAAUUUCAUCUUACCAUGAAGAGUGCCUGACGCGCAACCGUAGUAAUGUGUUAACACUAAAUUUUACGACAACGCUAGCUAACCUUUAAAACAAGUAGAAAUUAACGCCAUCAGCGGUGAUUAACAAAUCUACCAAGUAUUUUAAUAAUGGAUUUGCAGGCGUGGAUUUCGAAUUAUUUGUAUUUUUUUGUAGACCAUUAAGAGCAAUGGAGAAGAGCCAACGUCCUAAUUGUCAAAUUGUCUGUACCCAUCGCUUACAGCAAAGUGCUAGUUAUUUUUGGCUGGACCGCAAGAGCGGGGCAGUCCUCAAAACCACAUAGGCCUACUAGGUUUUGACCUGGUCAGAAAGAAAACCACUGGGUGCCCUAGUGACGGGUGCUGAGCUGAAAAAGGAGCAGGCAGAAAAUCCCUUAAACUGAUUAACGUUAUUAUUGGUGUCAACUUGUUUUUAAUUGUUGUACUUGAUUAGAAAUGACAUAUUACUAAAUAUGAUAGAGACAUUUCUCCUCAAUUAGCUUAGACGAGAAAAACAUUCUAUUUGCGUCGCAAAGUUGUGCACAUUUCAAUCGACAUAUUAAAAACUGGAUAAACGUACACACCCCGAAAAUGUUCAUGGCAAAGAUCUGGAAUACGCAGAUUUUGUCAUUUGAACGAGCACAGGUUAGAUGGCAUUUUUUAGAUUAUAAUUUAUUUUGAAUUUAUUUGAUCUUCAUAGCAUGGCGUGACGAAGGAAACAAUUGAAUUAUUCAGAUUGUGGGUAGACUUGUUAAUCAAGGGAAAUGAUUGAAAGUCAAGACUAGACUAAUAAUCAGGGGAAGUUUUCUGCCGCCUCGAUUUUCAGCUCAGCAGCCACCACUGUGCCUUAAGUUAAACUAUCAGUACUAGUCAGUUAAAUAAUGUGUAUAAUAGAACACUCUUUGCCACACCAUAUUGUACCUCCGAGAAUUUAAAUAAAGGUUCUGAUUGCCACUAUAAAAACUCUCUCUCUCUUUCUCUCUCUCUCUACCAAAAUAUAACAUCAGCUGUGUUUUCCAUUUGAUUUGUCAGUUGUGCAUAUUGUGUUUUUGUUUUGUUUGAUCAACUUUAUUGUAUAGUGGAUGCAAUGCAUUUUAAUACAAUUUUGGACCCGGCUCUGCAUUCUCUUGACUUUUUUUUUUGUGCCCUGAACUGAUGUCCCCCUUACAUUACUUUUGUAAUGUAAGGGGGACAUUAGCAGUAAGAUUACAUUAAUUCUAUGGUGAGUUUUUCCCUAUAUCCUCAUGCUAAAAUCUACUGUAAAUCCACAUAUUAAAGCUGAUAUUUAAAA